This is a long non-coding RNA of Bos taurus (domestic cattle), 829 nucleotides long. The record is from Ensembl. NCBI's taxonomy places the organism in Eukaryota, Metazoa, Chordata, Mammalia, Artiodactyla, Bovidae.
GAUACAUUUAUUCACUGGACUGUAAAAUGAAUGACCAGGAGCUAACUGUGGGUAAACUCAGAAGUCGAAGGAGCUAGUUGCCCGGGGACUUGACGGUAUACCUUUUUUGAAAUAAACCUUGCGUGGUGCUGAAGGGGCUGAAAGGAGAUACCCCACGUCCAAGGUCAGGAGCGGUAGCCAAGAGGAGAUUUCCCACAUCCAAGUAAGCUGUGACUGCUAGACCGUGAGCUGGGAGGGAGCGAUACUGUUGGUGAUUGUCUUGAGCACAUCCCUAGCACAUAACCCACAAGAGGCCCUAGUAUGCAGAUGAGGAUGUGACAGUGAUUUUGGAGUUGCCUUCAACUUUGGGGGAACAGAAGAAACUGAAACACAAAACAAACUUAGAGAAGCUGAAAGAAGCUAAAGUAUUUAAAAACAUAUUAAAUGGGAAUCACUUCUUACCUUGAAAUGUUCUCAAAUGUCAUAGCACAAGAGAACCGCGGUGGCAUUGUGAAUAUAAGACCAAAAGAAGAUGGCAGCAACAGACCAUGGAACACGUCUGUACUGUUUUCCAGUCUCCACGGCCACCACCUGCCUCCACAGGCACCACCUAAGGAUUCUCAGAGCUGCAGGAAUGAGAGUUUUUUCAACUUUUAUCCUCAUGGUGACUCCCCAUGCAGUUUCUUGAGGGCUGUGGUAAACCAUUUCUCUGUAAUAAAAAUACCCAUGAUACUCUUUUCUCUACUGCCUCUUUGAAAUGUAAGAUGGCAGUAUUUAAAAAAAAAAGAUGGCAGUAUUAAAAUUGCUUAUAUUGAAUGUACUGUCAUUUCCAAAAUUCUUCACAUGGUCA